This 515-nucleotide ribosomal RNA is filed under the name uncultured bacterium. RNAcentral describes it as "partial 16S ribosomal RNA". It matches the Rfam family "Bacterial small subunit ribosomal RNA", at positions 28 to 523 of the family's 1533-position model. The record is from RNAcentral.
GAUGAACGCUGGCGGCGUGCCUAAUACAUGCAAGUCGAGCGAAUGGAUUAAGAGCUUGCUCUUAUGAAGUUAGCGGCGGACGGGUGAGUAACACGUGAGUAACCUGCCAAUAAGACUGGGAUAACUCCGGGAAACCGGGGCUAAUACCGGAUAACAUUUUGAACCGCAUGGUUCGAAAUUGAAAGGCGGCUUCGGCUGUCACUUAUGGAUGGACCAGCGUCGCAUUAGCUAGUUGGUGAGGUAACGGCUCACCAAGGCAACGAUGCGUAGCCGACCUGAGAGGGUGAUCGGCCACACUGGGACUGAGACACGGCCCAGACUCCUACGGGAGGCAGCAGUAGGGAAUCUUCCGCAAUGGACGAAAGUCUGACGGAGCAACGCCGCGUGAGUGAUGAAGGCUUUCGGGUCGUAAAACUCUGUUGUUAGGGAAGAACAAGUGCUAGUUGAAUAAGCUGGCACCUUGACGGUACCUAACCAGAAAGCCACGGCUAACUACGUGCCAGCAGCCGCAGUAA